RNAcentral lists this ribosomal RNA (497 nucleotides) under uncultured bacterium. RNAcentral's name for it is "partial 16S ribosomal RNA". It matches the Rfam family "Bacterial small subunit ribosomal RNA", at positions 28 to 507 of the family's 1533-position model. The record is from RNAcentral.
GAUGAACGCUGGCGGCGUGCCUAAUACAUGCAAGUCGAGCGAACGGACGAGAAGCUUGCUUCUCUGAUGUUAGCGGCGGACGGGUGAGUAACACGUGGAUAACCUACCUAAAAGACUGGGAAAACUUCGGGAAACCGGAGCUAAUACCGGAUAAUAUUUUGAACCGCAUGGUUCAAAAGUGAAAGACGGUCUUGCUGUCACUUAUAGAUGGAUCCGCGCUGCAUUAGCUAGUUGGUAAGGUAACGGCUUACCAAGGCAACGAUGCAUAGCCGACGUGAGAGGGGGAUCGGCCACACUGGAACUGAGACACGGUCCAGACUCCUACGGGAGGCAGCAGUAGGGAAUCUUCCGCAAUGGGCGAAAGCCUGACGGAGCAACGCCGCGUGAGUGAUGAAGGUCUUCGGAUCGUAAAACUCUGUUAUUAGGGAAGAACAUAUGUGUAAGUAACUGUGCACAGCUUGACGGUACCUAAUCAGAAAGCCACGGCUAACUACGUG